ACGGGGGGAGCAAGCGUUGUCCGGAAUCAUUGGGCGUAAAGGGCGUGUAGGCGGUUAGGCAAGUCGAAUGUGAAAUCCCACGGCUCAACCGUGGAACGGCGUUCGAAACUGCCAUACUUGAGUGCGGGAGAGGAAUGAGGAAUUCCUGGUGUAGCGGUGGAAUGCGUAGAUAUCAGGAGGAACACCGGUGGCGAAGGCGGCCCACUGGACCAGCACUGACGCUGAGGCGCGAAAGCGUGGGUAGCAAACAG
This 251-nucleotide ribosomal RNA is filed under the name uncultured prokaryote. Its description in RNAcentral is "partial 16S rRNA". It matches the Rfam family "Bacterial small subunit ribosomal RNA", at positions 525 to 775 of the family's 1533-position model. The record is from RNAcentral.